This 881-nucleotide long non-coding RNA is filed under the name Salvator merianae (Argentine black and white tegu). Its description in RNAcentral is "lncRNA (ENSSMRG00000013373.1)". Lineage: Eukaryota; Metazoa; Chordata; Lepidosauria; Squamata; Teiidae. The record is from RNAcentral.
GUGCAGUGGGAGGCUUAACUUCGGCAGCUGUUCAUGCUUUGAGAAUGAGAAAUCAGGCAAAGGUUUCAUUGGACAACAGUCAAUCCCUGAGACAACACAACAGGAUGGAGUGAGCAUUCUAUACUGAACAUUAUCAAGGCAAAGAAGUGAUGGUGGUAACAGAAGGCACCUGGAAGAAUCACGAGGAGCAUGGUACAAGGGCUCUCUGCAGUGCUCAUCCUGUGGAAUGUGAAAAAGCACUCUGCUUGGCGCCCUCGGGCACAGUCCAGACAGGCCGUUUUUCCAUUGUGCUGAAAAUAGCUGAUUUCCAGUGCCAUUUCCAGCAUGGCAGAAAAUCUUCCCCAUGCAACAUGUUUGAAGCUGCUGAACUGUCAUCCCCCAACUUCAGAGAAGGUGAGGGAGUGAAGCAUGUGGCAUACAGGUACCACAAGCUUUCCCAUGGGACAAGAGCAAGCAUCCUCACAGGCAUUUGGAAGGUACACACAGGAAAGCUGAUGGGAAAAUCUGGAUGGAAUACUAAACACCCCAGAAAACUGUGGAUCUUCACAGUUCACGUGCUACUGGAGGUAAAUCUGAGACAGGUCUACUAGGAAAUAAGCCCUAUGUUGGUCCAUUGGAGUUUAUGGCUCCAUCGAUAUAAAGCCCAGGAGUGGGCAAGGCCCAGGGCAGGAGGCUUCAGGUCUCUAUCCAGACAGGUUCUAAAACCCAGGAUUAUCCCAGCACUAUGUUGGGCUUGCCACAUGUAUCUGCAAGAAAAUCAACUCCCAAACAUGGGUUUUACCUAUAAGGUGAGAGCACUAGGGGUGUGCACGAAAGGAUCUUUCGGUGUUCGUUUCGCAAAGCAUCGAAGCACCGUUGUUUUCUUUUCGCAUGAAAACGCU